This 28-nucleotide small RNA is filed under the name Bombyx mori (domestic silkworm). RNAcentral's name for it is "ovarian small RNA-35246". Lineage: Eukaryota; Metazoa; Arthropoda; Insecta; Lepidoptera; Bombycidae. The record is from RNAcentral.
UGGUUUGAUCACCAAUUUGUGUGCCAGU